RNAcentral lists this ribosomal RNA (427 nucleotides) under uncultured bacterium. Its description in RNAcentral is "partial 16S ribosomal RNA". It matches the Rfam family "Bacterial small subunit ribosomal RNA", at positions 355 to 774 of the family's 1533-position model. The record is from RNAcentral.
UGGGGAAUAUUGCACAAUGGGCGCAAGCCUGAUGCAGCCAUGCCGCGUGUAUGAAGAAGGCCUUCGGGUUGUAAAGUACUUUCAGCGAGGAGGAAGGCGUUGUGGUUAAUAACCGCAACGAUUGACGUUACUCGCAGAAGAAGCACCGGCUAACUCCGUGCCAGCAGCCGCGGUAAUACGGAGGGUGCAAGCGUUAAUCGGAAUUACUGGGCGUAAAGCGCACGCAGGCGGUCUGUCAAGUCGGAUGUGAAAUCCCCGGGCUCAACCUGGGAACUGCAUCCGAAACUGGCAGGCCAGAGUCUUGUAGAGGGGGGUAGAAUUCCAGGUGUAGCGGUGAAAUGCGUAGAGAUCUGGAGGAAUACCGGUGGCGAAGGUGGCCCCCUGGACAAAGACUGACGCUCAGGUGCGAAAGCGUGGGGAGCAAACA